This 253-nucleotide ribosomal RNA is filed under the name uncultured bacterium. RNAcentral's name for it is "partial 16S ribosomal RNA". It matches the Rfam family "Bacterial small subunit ribosomal RNA", at positions 524 to 776 of the family's 1533-position model. The record is from RNAcentral.
UACGUAGGGCGCAAGCGUUGUCCGGAAUUAUUGGGCGUAAAGAGCUCGUAGGCGGCUUGUCACGUCGGGUGUGAAAGCCCGGGGCUUAACCCCGGGUCUGCAUUCGAUACGGGCAGGCUAGAGUGUGGUAGGGGAGAUCGGAAUUCCUGGUGUAGCGGUGAAAUGCGCAGAUAUCAGGAGGAACACCGGUGGCGAAGGCGGAUCUCUGGGCCGUUACUGACGCUGAGGAGCGAAAGCGUGGGGAGCGAACAGG